UACGGAAGGCAGCAGUGGGGAAUAUUGCACAAUGGGCGCAAGCCUGAUGCAGCCAUGCCGCGUGUAUGAAGAAGGCCUUCGGGUUGUAAAGUACUUUCAGUCGUGAGGAAGGUGUUAAGGUUAAUAACCUUAGCAAUUGACGUUAGCGACAGAAGAAGCACCGGCUAACUCCGUGCCAGCAGCCGCGGUAAUACGGAGGGUGCGAGCGUUAAUCGGAAUUACUGGGCGUAAAGGGCACGCAGGCGGUUAAUUAAGUUGGAUGUGAAAUCCCCGGGCUUAACCUGGGAAUGGCAUUCAAGACUGGUUAGCUAGAGUCUUGUAGAGGGGGUAGAAUUCCAUGUGUAGCGGUGAAAUGCGUAGAGAUGUGGAGGAAUACCGGUGGCGAAGGCGGCCCCUGGACAAAGGCUGACGCUCAUGUGCGAAGGCGUGGGGAGCAAACG
This 440-nucleotide ribosomal RNA is filed under the name uncultured bacterium. RNAcentral's name for it is "bacterial SSU rRNA". It matches the Rfam family "Bacterial small subunit ribosomal RNA", at positions 340 to 774 of the family's 1533-position model. The record is from RNAcentral.